AGCGAACGCUGGCGGCAGGCCUAACACAUGCAAGUCGAACGAACUCUUCGGAGUUAGUGGCGGACGGGUGAGUGACACGUGGGAACGUGCCUUUAGGUUCGGAAUAACUCAGGGAAACUUGUGCUAAUACCGAAUGUGCCCUUCGGGGGAAAGAUUUAUCGCCUUUAGAGCGGCCCGCGUCUGAUUAGCUAGUUGGUGAGGUAAAGACUCACCAAGGCGACGAUCAGUAGCUGGUCUGAGAGGAUGAUCAGCCACAUUGGGACUGAGACACGGCCCAAAAUCCUACGGGAGGCAGCAGUGGGGAAUCUUGCGCAAUGGGCGAAAGCCUGACGCAGCCAUGCCGCGUGAAUGAUGAAGGUCUUAGGAUUGUAAAAUUCUUUCACCGGGGACGAUAAUGACGGUACCCGGAGAAGAAGCCCCGGCUAACUUCGUGCCAGCCGCCGCCGUAA
Molecule: ribosomal RNA, 449 nt
Filed under: uncultured bacterium
Lineage: Bacteria
Description: partial 16S ribosomal RNA
Rfam family: Bacterial small subunit ribosomal RNA
Source: RNAcentral